UACGGAGGUGGCAAGCGUUGCUCGGAAUCACUGGGCGUAAAGGGUGCGUAGGCGGGUCUUUAAGUCAGGGGGGAAAUCCUGGAGCUCAACUCCAGAACUGCCUUUGAUACUGAAGAUCUUGAGUUCGGGAGAGGUGAGUGGAACUGCGAGUGUAGAGGUGAAAUUCGUAGAUAUUCGCAAGAACACCAGUGGCGAAGGCGGCUCACUGGCCCGAUACUGACGCUGAGGCACGAAAGCGUGGAGAGCAAACAGG
This 253-nucleotide ribosomal RNA is filed under the name uncultured bacterium. RNAcentral's name for it is "partial 16S ribosomal RNA". It matches the Rfam family "Bacterial small subunit ribosomal RNA", at positions 524 to 776 of the family's 1533-position model. The record is from RNAcentral.